Molecule: long non-coding RNA, 10094 nt
Filed under: Daucus carota (carrot)
Lineage: Eukaryota; Viridiplantae; Streptophyta; Magnoliopsida; Apiales; Apiaceae
Description: long non-coding RNA (DCAR_LNC005883)
Source: RNAcentral
UUACUUCAAUUUCACCAGUUGCACUUUCUACUAAUUCCUUUUCUAUCCACGACAACAUCUUAUUGACACAUCUUUGCCUGACUAAAACUGUUUCAUUGAUUCUCUUAUUACUGAAGAGCUCAACUGUGCAGAUCCGCCUCAAGGUGCGCCAGUAGGGGCUACAUUUGCCUAAUACCAUAGAGCUCUUGUAGUAGUCAUUUGCCCUCAUGACAUCAUUAUUAAACCGGUCAAUAAAGGAGAGAUCAUGGUUCUUGAACAACUCUUCGGCUGCACCAGCAGAAAGAAUCACCAUGGUCUUGACAGCUCCAAGAUCUAACCACACAACAGGACCAUACUUUUCUUUCAGUGCAGCUAGACUUCUGUGUGGUAAAGCUCCAAGAUCAAAUAUAUUUCCAAUGACUGGCCAGCCUCGAGGCCCUGGAGGAAGCUUGGAACGUCUGUAACUAUUCUUUCGUCUCAAGUGCCAUAUCAGUGGCAUCAAAGUGAACAAAAUGGACCAAAUAACAUAGUUCCACUUCAACUCCAUGUCCAGAGACUACAGACUCUGUACUGAGACUUGAGUUUCGACUUAUACUUAAUCUUAUAAAAAAAAUUCUGCGGCGAUCUCAGUUUGCGGAUCCACCAAGUCACUAAAAUUCAAACAUAUUAAUAGAGGGGUGCUCAAACUAGUACUCCCAGUAUUAUUGAACCUUGUUUUCAGUCCAUACAAAGAUAUCAUCCACACAUUUUUGGCAUAUCAAUAUAUCAUCCAGCUGAUAUUUAUUUUUUACAUUGAAGACCUCAAUAAUACAUCUGCAUUAAACGUGAAUGUCGAAAUCAUCUUUAUAACAAAGGCACAGCAUGUCAAAGAAGUAAGAUCACGGAUCUGGAAUAAGUCUUUGGGCCUUUGGCAGCAUGCACACGGUACUGUAUGGGCACAGUGUUCAUCAAACCGCACAAAUCGUAUAAUCGCUCCGCGGGCUGUUAGCGAACAAGCUCGAGCUCGGUUCGAUAAAAGCUCGGUUCGGCUCGUUUUGUUAAGAAUUUGAACUCGAGCUCGAACACAAUGUGUUCGUUAAGAAAACGAGCUCGAGCCGAGCUUUUAGUAUGUUCAGCUCGAGCUCGGCUCGAACUCGUUCGGCUCGUUAAAACUCGAAAAAAUGCAAUAUUUUCGGGAUAUAUUUAUAAGAUAUACAUGUUAUUGAACUCAUAAUUCAACAUAUAAUACAUUUAUAGAUUUUAGUGAUGUAACAAAAGUUUCGGAAUUUUUUUUUAUUUGGUUUACUAUUUUAUCAGUUAAGCAUCAGUUUGACAUGUACACUAACUAGUGUAGUCUUGAAUUGAUGUUUUGAUUUUUUUAAAAAUAUUUUUCAUUGAUCCGACCUCGUUUGGCUCGGCUCGUGAACAAGCUCCUGUUCGACUCGUUAGUCAACGAGCUCGAGCUCGAACAUAAUUUUUGUUCGAUAAAAAACUCGGCUCGGCACGGCUCGACUCGUUAGAAAAAAAAAAUUAAAGCUCGGUUCGGCUCUGUUCGUGAAGCCCUACGGAGCACACUCCAAAAGUGGUUUUUAGCUUUUGUGACUGUGGGGUGAAAUUUUGAAAAAUUACACCUUGCGUUGCGAGUUGCAGUUUAACAUUAUACACGUGGUUCAAACCGUAACAUACAGUAAUAUAUAACAACUCAGUUAAACCAGAAACCAGUGAUCGGAUCACUUACAUCUAGUGAUUAUUCAGAGUCUUUCUUCAAUCACUGGCAUCAUCUCUGAUUACCACCAUUAAUUGUGAUGAUGAUCAUGCAUCCAUUCGUUUGGGAACUCCUCUUAAGGGCACUAGUUUUCUUGCUGAGACCCCCAUUGCUUCUCUCAUGUCCAUUUUAAUCCCACCACUGACACUAUCACAAAGCUUCCAGUCGAAAUGAUGAAGCAACGAGCCUAAAAUGAGAGGAAGAACACGAUGAGCCAAAGGAAGACCAGGGCAAAUUCUUCUCCCAGCACCAAAUGGUAUAAACUUAAAACUCUGUCCCUUGUACCCAAUACUCGAUUCCAAGAAUCUUUCAGGUUUAAAAGACAAAGCAUCCUCCCAACUCUCUUCGUCUCUCCCAAUCGCCCAAGCAUUGACAAAAACUUGUGUAUUUUUUGGAAUGUUAUAGCCCAUGAAGGUCGUAUCUUGGACCGCCUUUCUUGGUAGCAGAAGUGGAAUUGAAGCAUGUAAGCGUAGUGAUUCUUCCACGCUUGCUUGCAAGUAAGGCAGAUUAUUAAUGUCACUCUCUUCCAGUUCCUUGUUUGCUCCCACAACUCUACCAAGCUCCGCUUUGAUCUUCUUCAGUGAUUCAGGAUUCCUUAAGAGCUCGCACAUCGCCCACUCAAUUGUGGCGCUUAUUGUGUCUGUUGCCGCAACAAAUAUAUCCUGAAACAAUUAUGUGUAAAUACAAUACCAUCAAAAAUUUAUUAUUAUUCUACAUUUCUCCUUAUAACUUACCAAUAAAAAGAUAGUGAUUUGGUGGUGUGAUAGUAUUUCUGGUUCAUCCUUCGCGGUACCCUCAAAAUCUAGCACCACGUCCAAGAAGUCCUUGUGAUCUGUGGCCUUUCCUUCCCUGUGUUGCCUCUGUUUAACCCGAUCAUCCACGAAUCCUGAAAUAAUUUUAAUUGCUUUGCCUAGAUCCCUGUCGGUUCUCGCCCUCAAUCCUUGCAGGUCAAGCCAUCCAAGCCAAGGAAACAAAUCAGAGAUAUUAGGACUGGUGACACACUCUGAGAAUCCUGACAAGGCGGUGUAGAAUUCAGAUGCCAUCUCAGAUUUCGGACUCAUCAAGUCACGAGAUAGUGUCAGAUUUCCAAUCAUGUUAAAUAUUGCUGGGAACACAAACUCUAUCACUUCAAUUUCACCACUUGCACUUUCUUCUACUUCCUUUUCUAUCCACUUCAACAUCUCAUCCACACAUUUUUUCUUGACCAAAACUGUUUCGUUGCUUCUCUUAUUGCUAAAGACCUCCUUAUUACAUAUCCGCCUCAUGGUGCGCCAGUAGGGGCUAUAUGCGCCCAAAGCUAUGGAGCUCUUGUAGUAGUCGUGUGACCUGGUUAUAUCAUUAUUGAACCUGUCAACGAAGGAGAGAUCAUGGUUCUUGAAAAACUCUUCAGCUGCACUGGCAGAAAGAAUCACCAUGGUCUUGACAGGUCCAAGAUUUAGCCACACAACAGGACCAUAUUUUUGUUUCAGCGCAGCUAGACUUCUGUGUGGUGAAGCUCCAAGAUCAAAUAUAUUGCCAAUGACUGGCCAGCCUCGAGGCCCCGGAGGAAGCUUGGAUCGUCUGUAACUAUUCUUCCUCCUCAAAUGCCAAGCAAGCGGCAUCAGAGUGAUCAAAAUGGACCAAAGAACAUAGUUCCACAUCCACUCCAUGCUCAGAUUACAGAUUUGCUACCAAAUGAGAGUUGACCUGUAUGCCAGGAAAGCCAUAUUACGUCAAAGUCAAAAAUGGCUUAAAGUCCGGGACUUUAAGUCCUGCCAAACAGGCUCUAAACAUACACAUAUCACAUUUCAUAACAAAUGAAAAAAUGUACCUUCUUUAAGUGUCUGGAGAGUGCUGCACUGCUGUUUGUUCACAGAUAUAAUUAAGAUCAGCACAGAUGAGAAUUAAUUUAUAUUUGAAAAUUCUCAAACAAUAUCAUACAAUAAGACAAAUAUAACCAAAGAGUCAAAACUUUAGACUAAUGUUCACCUGCUCCACAUAAUUAAGCACACACUACUUGAUUUAUUAAUUCUAAGCACACCACUUAUUUUAGAAAUGGAAGGCCAGGCCAGGGCAAUUUAAAUGGACAGUAGUCAAGGCCCAAAACUUAAAGAGGCCCAAUUUUUAUAUAUCUUAGUAUCUUAUAAUAUUUUCUGCUAAACAUUUAUUUUGCAAUCUUAAUAGUAAAAAAAUAAUUUAAGAAAAAAUUCUUUAUUAUUGUUGCAUUUCACACUUUACAAAUCACAAUUUUAAUAUCAUCUACUUUCUUCACUUUUUCUAAUAAAAGAUGCAAGAUCAAGGACAUUUUUAAAAUUUUCUGCAUCCUCAUUUUCAGGAUACCUAACAUUUUUCGUAAGUAAAUGAUUGAAAAUAAAUUGAUGUAAAAAUAAGAAAUAUUAUAUAAAUAUCACAAUUAUAACUUAAGAAAUAAUAUAAUAUUAUUAAUUUAGGUAAAUAAUAGUGAGAAACAAUAAGAAAAUGAGAAAUAAGUUGGAGAGAGGGUUAGUGGACAUGAGAAUUAAAAUGAGAAAGAAUUAAAUGAAGAUGAGUGAAUGUGUGUAUUACCAUACUAUGGGAGGUUAACAAAUUUUUUUUAUGUCAUUGGAUUUCUUUCUUUUAUUACCAUACUAUAAUAUUUGCUAGGUUUGUAUCCCAUUUAUAUAGUAAAAACUUAUAAAUAUUGAAUUAUAAUAAAUGGAUAUUAAUAUUAUAAUUAAAUGUAUUUAUAAUUUUGAAAUACGAUUAUGAGUUUACAAAUGAAAAAAAUAUAUAUAAUUAAAUAUUUUUAAUCAAAUAAUUUAUUAUAAUUCUUGUCUAGCACACAUUUAUAUACAAAUCUAUCUACUUAUCAUAUUGUAUUAAACUCAAAUAUUAAAAUUUGGUUGGUAAUAAAAUUGGUUAGUAAUUAUUAAAGUUAGUAAUAACAUAACGGUAUUGAAAUUUGAUUAUAUAAUAUGGAUGGAUCAUCAUCCCUGGAAAAUAUUAAACAAUAUUAUAAUACAAAAUUUAUUAAGACAAGGGUGAUUUUAUUGUCAAACAAGUACCCCAUCAGAGAGGUACUAAAUUUUCUUCACCAAUUGAUUGUACAGAUGAUCAUGCAGUCAUUUGUUUCGCAACUGCUCUUAAUGGCACUAGUUUUCUUGCUGAUACCCCCAUUGCUUCUCUCAUGUCCAUUCUAAUCUCACCACCAACACUUUCACAAAGCUUCCAGUCGAAAUGAUGAAGCAAUGAGCCUAAAAUGAGAGGAAGAACACGAUGAGCCAAAGGAAGACCAGGGCAAAUUCUUCUCCCAGCACCAAAUGGUAUAAACUUGAAACUCUGGCCGAUACUCGACUCCAAGAAUCUUUCACGUUUGAAAGACAAAGCAUCCUCCCAAUUCUCUUCGUCUCUCUCAAUACCCCAAGCAUUGACAAAAACUUGUGUAUUUUUAGGAAUGUUAUAGCCCAUGAAGGUUGUAUCUUGGACCGCCUUUCUUGGUAGCAUGAGUGGAACUGAAGCAUGUAAGCGUAGUGAUUCUUCCACAGUUGCUUGCAAGUAAGGUAGAUUAUUAAUGUCACUCUCUUCCAGUUCCUUGUUUGCUCCCACAACUCUACCAAGCUCGGCUUUGAUCUUCUUCAUUGAUUCAGGAUUUGUUAAGAGCUCACACAUCGCCCACUCAAUUGUGGAGCUUGUUGUUUCUGUUCCCGCAAUAAACAUUUCCUGAAACAAUAACAUAAUCUCAAACUCACACACACACAUUCAUUCUCUCUUUAACUUGCCAUAUACAUUUCUAAUUGGACUUACCAUUAGAAAGAUAGUUAUUUGGUGGUCUGAUAGUUUAGCUGGUUCAUCUUUUCCAUUACCCUCGUAAUCCAGCACCACGUCCAUGAAGUCCUUGUGCUCUGUUGCCCUUCCUUCCCCAUGUUGCCGUUGUUUCACACGCUCCCUCACAAAUCCUGAAAUAAUUUGCAUUGCUUUUUUCAGAUCUCGAUCUGUCCUCCUCCUUAAUCCUUGAAGGUCAAGCCAUCUAAGCCAGGGAAACAGAUCGGAGAUAUUAGGACUUGACAAACAUUCUGAGAAUCCUGACAAAGCCGAGUAAAAUUCAGAGGCCAUCUCAGAAUUCGGGUGCAUCAAGUCUUGAGACAGUGUCAGAUUUCCAAUCAUGUUAAAUAUUGCUGGGAACAGAAAACUUUUUACUUCAAUUUCACCAGUUGCACUUUCUACUAAUUCCUUUUCUAUCCACGACAACAUCUUAUUGACACAUCUUUGCCUGACUAAAACUGUUUCAUUAAUUUUCUUAUUACUGAAGAGCUCAACUGUACAGAUCCGCCUCAAGGUGCGCCAGUAGGGGCUACAUUUGCCUAAUACCAUAGAGCUCUUGUAGUAGUCAUUUGCCCUCAUCACAUCAUUAUUAAACCGGUCAAUAAAGGAGAGAUCAUGGUUCUUGAACAACUCUUCAGCUGCACCAGCAGAAAGAAUCACCAUGGUCUUGACAGGUCCUAAAUUUAGCCACACAACAGGACCGUAUUUUUGUUUCAGUGCAGCUAGACUUCUGUGUGGUGAAGCUCCAAGAUCAAAUAUAUUGCCAAUGACUGGCCAGCCUCGAGGUCCCGGAGGAAGCUUGGAGCGUCUGUAACUAUUCUUUCUCCACAAGUGCCAAGAAAGCGGCAUCAGAGUGAUCAAAAUGGACCAAAGAACAUAGUUCCACAUCCACUCCAUGCUCAGAUUACAGAUUUGCUACCAAAUGAGAGUUGUCCUGUAUGCCAGGAAAGCCAUGUUACGUCAAAGUCAAAAAAUGACUUAAAGCCCGGGACUUUAAGUCCUGCCAAACCGGCUCUAAACAUACACAUAUCACAUUUCAUAACAAAUGAAAAAAUGUACCUUCUUCAAGUGUCUGGAGAACUGCUAGUGCUGCACUGCUGUUUGUUCAAAGAUAUAAUUAAAUCAGCUCAGAUAAGAUUUAAUUUAUAUUUGAAAAUUCUGAAACAAUAGCAUAUAAGACAAAUAUAACCAAAGAGUCAAAACUUGAGAGUAAUUCUAAGCACACCACUUAUUUUAAAAAUGAAAAGCAUGUUAACUUGUAUACUUGCUUUACUGAUGUAAAGCAUGCUAAAUUCUUGUACAUCUUAAUCAUGGGUAAAUUUUUUUCAAAACUAGGGUUUUUUUUAUCACGUAACUUUUGAUUAUUAAUGUAUAAAUUGGAGGCUGAGCGUUCUACACUAUAAUCAAAAUUUGGAGACCUCCGUCAAAUCUGGCUCUGAUACCAUGUUGAGAACUAGUCCUUUUAAAAUCUUAAUCAAAACUUGAGAUCUCUGCCAAACCUGGCUCUGAUAUCAUGUUGAGUUUGGCUCUGAUACCAUGUUGAGAACCUGUCCAUCUAAAAUCUUAAUCAAAACUUGAGACACUUGACUCUGAUGUCAUGUUUAUCUAAAACCUUGAAGUGUUAGAGGAAGGUCCUGAAUAUAUAUUACGUUAUAUUUCAACAAAUGGAAUUUGUAUCUCGUUGUAAUUCAAGAACUCUUCUGAAAUUACAAUAUCAAAUUAUUAAAUCAAGUUGUGUAGGAAAUUUUGUCGCAGCUUCCAAAAUAAUAAUACAUUUUAUAUGAACUUCAUUCCUGUGUUGGGGCGAAAAGCUUAAGCUAAUUCUCAUUUUGGACAAAUCUGUAUUCUGCAGUUGUAAUGCUAUGAGUUUGUGACCUGAAUUUCCUGCAAACAAAAUCCUUACUAUAUGCCCAUCUGCAAAGUCAAGUAACAAGAAUACGAAGCUUAUGAAUCCAGGGGAAGUGGUUCGUAUAUUUUAAACAAGGAGAUGACAAGGCAUAUAUACUAAUUUUCCAUUACCAACUAAUUUUAUGAUCAUACCACAUUUCAUUUUGGAACUGCCUUAAAGGGUAUCAGUUUUCUUGCUGAUGUGCCCAUUGUUUCCCUCAUGUCAAAUUGUCAUCUCACCGCUGCUAUUUUCACCAGGCUUCCAGUCAAAAUAGUGAAGCAAUGAGCCAAGGUUUAGGGGAAGAACGCGAUCAGCUAGUGGAAGACCUGGGCAAAACCUUCUACCCACACCAAAUGGUAUGAACUCAUAAUCCUGACCCUUGUACCCAAUACUGGACUCCAAGAAUCUUUCGGGCUUAAAUGACAGAGCAUCCUCCCAAAUUUCUUCGUCUCUUCCAAUUGCCCAAGCAUUGACAAAAACAUGAGUGUUUUUAGGAUUUCUGAUGUCUUUUCCAGCAUAGAGUUUUAGCAUUAGAGAUAAGAAUAUUACAACAAGAACUAGUACUACAAUUAUUACGAAGUUAAUGAUAGUGUAAAUGAAGUCCAUCCUUGAAGGUCUGGCAAAAAUGGUUGAUUUAUCAGCCAAAUGCUGUCAGUUCCAUUAUAUAUAUGCAGGUUUGCAUUGUCAAGAUUAGGACAUAACAUUUCUUUAAUGUAGCCAUUUCUAUCAUCUUUAUACAUAAUGCAUAGCUUGUAAUAGAUAAGGACGUUAACAUUUUUUAACCUACUGGCAUUUCUGUUCUUUUCCAACAGAAAUUAUAGUACAACUCUCGCGAUUCCUACAUACAUGAAUGGCAUCAUAGCAUUAAGUAUCUUCUGCUUGCUAUAUAUGUUAUGGAACUAAAGUGCAAACGAUAUUCAAGAAUUCUAAUUUGGACCAUCGACAGAUCCAAAUUCAUUAUUUAGGGAAAAAUGACAAUUUGGAAUACAAUAUUCAUCAGGGGAAAGUGUAUCUUGAUAAGAAAGCAUACUGAGUUUCCUUCACUGAAAUAUUAUUAUGAUGAUCAUGCAGCCAUUCGUUUUGGAACUGCUCUUAAGGGCACUAGUUUUCUUGCUGAUACCCCCGUUGUUUCCCUCAUGUCCAUAUUAAUCCUACCACUGACACUUUCACAAAGCUUCCAGUCGAAAUAAUGAAGCAAUGAGCCUAAAAUGAGAGGAAGAACACGAUGAGCCAAAGGAAGACCAGGGCAAAUUCUUCUCCCAGCACCAAAUGGUAUAAACUCAAAACUCUGGCCCUUGUACCCGAUACUCGACUCCAAGAAUCUUUCAGGUUUGAAAGACAAAGCAUCCUCCCAACUCUCUUCGUCUCUCCCAAUCGCCCAAGCAUUGACAAAAACUUGGGUAUUUUUAGGAAUGUUAUAGCCCAUGAAGGUCGUAUCAUGGACCGCCUUUCUUGGUAGCAUGAGUGGAACUGAAGCAUGUAAGCGUAGUGAUUCUUCCACAGUUGCUUGCAAGUAAGGCAGAUUAUUAAUGUCACUCUCUUUCAGUUCCUUGUUUGCUCCCACAACUCUACCAAGCUCCACUUUGAUCUUCUUCAUUGAUUCAGGAUUCCUUAAUAGCUCACACAACGCCCACUCAAUUGUGGCGCUUGUUGUUUCUGUUCCUGCAAUAAACAUUUCCUGAAACAAUAACACAAUCUCAAACUCAAGACACAAAUUCAUUUUCCCUUUAACUGGCCGUAUACAUUUCUACUUGGACUUACCAUUAGAAAGAUAGUUAUUUGGUGGUCUGAUAGUUUAACUGGUUCGUCUUUUCCAUUGCCCUCAUAAUCCAGCACCACGUCCAAGAAGUCCUUGUGCUCUGUUGCCCUUCCUUCCCUGUGUUGCCGUUGUUUGACACGCUCCCUCACAAAUCCUGAAAUAAUUUGCAUUGCUUUUUUUAGCUCUCGAUCUGUUCUCCUCCUUAACCCUUGAAGGUCAAGCCAUCUAAGCCAGGGAAACAAAUCUGAGAUAUUAGGACUCGUCAAACAUACUGAGAAUCCUGACAAGGCCAUGUAAAAUUCAGAGGCCAUCUCAGAAUUUGGAUGCAUCAAGUCUUGAGACAGUGUCAGAUUUCCAAUCAUGUUAAAUAUUGCAGGGAACAGAAAAUCUUUUACUUCAAUUUCACCCGUUGCACUUUCUACUAAUUCCUUCUCUAUCCACGACAACAUCUUAUUGACACAUCUUUGCCUGACUAGAACUGCUUCGUUGAUUCUCUUAUUACUGAAGAGCUCAACUGUACAGAUCCGCCUCAAGGUGCGCCAGUAGGGGCUAUAUAAACCUAACGCCAUAGAGCUCUUGUAGUAGUCAUCUGCCCUCAUCACGUCAUUAUUAAACCGGUCAAUAAAGGAGAGAUCAUGGUUCUUAAACAACUCUUCGGCUGCACCAGCAGAAAGAAUCACCAUGGUCUUGACAGCUCCAAGAUUUAGCCACACAACAGGACCAUAUUUUUGUUUCAGUGCAGCUAGACUUCUGUGUGGUGAAGCUCCAAGAUCGAAUAUAUUGCCAAUGACUGGCCAGCCUUGAGGCCCCGGAGGAAGCUUGGCUCGUCUGUAACUAUUCUUUCUCCUCAAGUGCCAAGCAAGCGGCAUCAGAGUGAUCAAAAUGGACCAAAGAACAUAGUUCCACAUCCACUCCAUGCUCAGAUUACAGAUUUGCUACUAAAU